Molecule: ribosomal RNA, 495 nt
Filed under: uncultured bacterium
Lineage: Bacteria
Description: partial 16S ribosomal RNA
Rfam family: Bacterial small subunit ribosomal RNA
Source: RNAcentral
GAUGAACGCUGGCGGCGUGCCUAAUACAUGCAAGUCGAGCGAACAGAUAAGGAGCUUGCUCCUUUGAAGUUAGCGGCGGACGGGUGAGUAACACGUGGGUAACCUACCUAUAAGACUGGGAUAACUUCGGGAAACCGGAGCUAAUACCGGAUAACAUUUAGAACCGCAUGGUUCUAAAGUGAAAGAUGGUUUUGCUAUCACUUAUAGAUGGACCCGCGCCGUAUUAGCUAGUUGGUAAGGUAACGGCUUACCAAGGCGACGAUACGUAGCCGACCUGAGAGGGGGGUCGGCCAAACUGGAACUAAGACACGGUCCAGACUCCUAGGGGAGGCAGGAGUAGGGAAUCUUCCGAAAGGGGCGAAAGCCUGACGGAGCAACGCCGCGUGAGUGAUGAAGGGUUGCGGCGCGUAAAACUCUGUUAUUAGGGAAGAACAAAUGUGUAAGUAACUGGGCACAUCUUGACGGUACCUAAUCAGAAAGCCACGGCUAACUACG